GGGUUAUUGCGGUCGGCGGAAAGCAGUGGAAGCUUUUAAAGGCGUAGCCUUGUCAUGCCUCUCUCCAGGACUCACAGUAUGACCCGCGGGCCACUUCCCUUUAAGGAGCGUGUCAGGGGUGGGACCUGGAUGUGUCCUUCCCGCCGCCGACUCCUUUAAGGCGCGGCCCUCGUCCCCCGGCAGAAAAGCUGCUUAAAGGCGACGCGUGGCGCGAUGGCGGCGUUGCCACGCGGGUCACGCGGGCUGCCGCUGCUGCCACUGCUCCUACUGCUGCCGCCGCUGGGCGGCCCGCGCGGCGCGGACGGCUACUUUCCAGAGGAGCGCUGGAGCCCCGAGUCCCCGCUACAGGCGCCGCGCGUGCUCAUCGCGCUGCUGGCGCGGAACGCGGCACCCGCGCUGCCCGCCACGCUGGGCGCCCUGGAGCAGCUGCGCCACCCACGGGAGCGCACGGCGCUGUGGGUGGCCACAGAUCACAACACUGACAACACUUCAGCCAUACUUCGAGAGUGGCUGGUGGCAGUGAAGGGUUUAUACCACUCUGUGGAGUGGCGACCGGCAGAGGAACCCAGCUCUUACCCAGACGAAGAAGGCCCCAAACACUGGUCCGAUUCCCGCUACGAGCAUGUCAUGAAACUGCGCCAAGCAGCCUUGAAGUCAGCUAGGGACAUGUGGGCUGACUACAUUCUGUUCAUGGACAUCGACAACUUGAUCACCAACCCCGACACUCUGAGCCUGCUCAUCGCUGAGAACAAGACAGUGGUGGCCCCCAUGCUGGACUCCCGAGCGGCAUACUCCAACUUCUGGUGUGGGAUGACUUCGCAGGGCUACUACAAGCGCACCCCUGCCUAUAUCCCCAUCCGAAAACGAGACCGCAGGGGCUGCUUUGCAGUUCCCAUGGUGCACUCUACCUUCCUCAUUGACCUGCGUAAGGCUGCAUCCAGGAACCUGGCCUUUUACCCAACACACCCAGACUACACCUGGUCUUUUGAUGACAUCAUCGUCUUUGCCUUCUCCUGUAAACAGGCAGAGGUGCAAAUGUACGUGUGCAAUAAGGAGGUGUACGGCUUCCUGCCCGUGCCACUGCGUGCGCACAGCAGCCUGCAGGACGAAGCAGAGAGCUUCAUGCACGUGCAGCUGGAGGUCAUGGUGAAACAUCCACCAGUGCAGCUCUCCCGAUUCAUCUCAGCACCCAGGAAGACUUCUGACAAGAUGGGCUUCGAUGAGGUCUUCAUGAUCAACCUGAAGCGGAGGCGGGACCGGCGAGAACGCAUGCUGCGGGCACUACAUGAGCAGGAGAUUGACUGCCAGCUGGUGGAGGCUGUAGAUGGCAAAGCCAUGAACACCAGCCAGGUGGAAGCCAUGGGCAUCCAGAUGCUGCCUGGCUACCGGGACCCCUACCAUGGGCGGCCACUCACCAAGGGAGAGCUGGGCUGCUUUCUCAGCCACUACAACAUCUGGAAGGAGGUAGGUGUCUGGGAUGAGGGAGGCCUGAUCCACAGUUCUUGUUCUCUUCACAGAUUAGGUCAGGUCCAGAGUCCCAGGGAGGAAUUAUGGUCCCCAUGCUACCAGUGGCAGAAUCUGUGACUACAUUUUGGUGUCUGUUGCAUGAACUGUCUUCACAUUAGCCCUGAUACACCAGAGUAGGGCAGCCACUGCCUUGGCAUUGCCAAGAUGCAGAAAGUGGACCUGGGGAAUAAAGGGGCCUCAGGUAAAGUCUAAAGCUGUGAUUCCCAAGUGAGAACUGCUUGCCUUGCAACCUGACUCUGCUCACUGUUUAUUGAAGUGAUGGCUUCUGGCUUUAAUGCCACUGGACAACAGCUGGUGAUGUGCCAUGAUGUCACACAAGAACCAGGUUUGGAACCUGCAAAUGGGGCUGGAUGGGUGGGGUGUUGGCUCCAGAUGAUAAGGUACAGGAAGUAGAGCAUCUAACUGUUCAAGAUGAUGGGUGCUUAUGUGAGCCACCCUUCUUUCCUAAAGUUCCUCACGGGCAUUCCGUUAGCUUCAUUAGUUUAUAGUGAAGCCUCCUAGACUGGGGGCAUUGCACCAAGGAGGAAGGGUAAGAGGAGCCUGCCUGUUGCCAAGAGGAAGGCUUCUUAGUAUCACAGGCUAAACACAGGCAGAGGCCCUAGGCAAGAAAAGCCCAGGUAGACAGGCAGAAGAGUGGCAUGGUGGGCAAAUAGCUGGAUGUGGAAGGUUGGGAUGCAUAUUUCCUUCCUAGCAAGCAGUUCUGGGGCUGGGUCUCCUUGACUUGGAGUGGCUCCUUCCCUCAGGUGGUUGACCGGGGACUACAGAAAUCACUAGUGUUUGAGGAUGAUCUGCGUUUUGAGAUCUUCUUCAAGAGACGUCUGAUGAACCUCAUGCGGGAUGUGGAGCGUGAGGGGCUGGACUGGGACCUCAUCAUUCUCUGGCAGGUGGGGGACAUGUAACAAGUCUCUUAUUCUGCACCCCAGCUACGUGGGCCGGAAGCGCAUGCAGGUGGAGCACCCUGAAAAGGCUGUGCCCCAUGUAAGGAACCUGGUAGAGGCUGAUUACUCCUACUGGACGCUAGCCUAUGUAAUCUCCCUGCAAGGUGCUCAGAAGUUGCUUGCUGCCAAGCCACUGGCCAAAAUGCUACCUGUUGAUGAGUUUCUGCCUGUCAUGUUUGACAAGCACCCAAUGUCAGAAUACAAGAGUCACUUCUCUCCCCGCAACCUGCGUGCCUUCUCUGUGGAGCCCCUCCUUAUCUACCCUACACACUACACAGGGGAUGAUGGCUAUGUGAGUGACACAGAGACCUCAGUUGUGUGGAAUAAUGAGCAGGUUAAGACUGACUGGGACCGAGCCAAGUCCCAGAAGAUGCGGGAACAGCAAGCACUGAGCCGUGAGGCCAAGAACUCAGAUGUGCUCCAGUCUCCACUGGACAGCACUGCCCGUGAUGAGCUUUGAGGCAACUGGCAAACAGCCAAAGCCACUGCUACACACCUAAACUUCAUGUGCUUGCCUGGGACUAUAGGGCCACUCAGGCAGACAACAGAGAGCUCUACAAGCACAGAGGUCUCCAUGUCUUCCUGUUUAGCAGCCACUUACACACAGGCAGCAUUUAUGGAGUACUUACUGUAUGCCAGAAAUAGGGCUGACCACCAAGAGAUUGGUCAGGAACAAGCACAGUCAGUUGGGUCCACCAUGAAGGAAGUUCUCUUGUUAGAGCAAUGAAAGAGGCAUGAUUCCCCCUUAUCAGUGAUGAACUGAUCAUCAGUCUUUUAUUGUUCAGACUGAGUCAGGUAUUAGGGAUACAUACUCAUUUUUAAAAUCCGUUUGAGUAUUUAUUGAGGGCUUACUGUAUAUUAGGUACCAUUCUUAGCUCUGGGAAUACUGAAAUAAGAAAAAAAAAUCAAGCAAAAUAUACCAAGCAGCUGCUAUGUGCCAGGUCUUAGGAAGCACUGAUGAGUUAAGUGUCUACUAUGUGUCACUCAGUAGGUGCUGGAGAUGGAUGUCCCAGUGGUGCUUAUCCUUGUAGUGGGCAUGAUAUGCUUACGGUGGAAACAGUCUUAUUGACCCUGUGUGCUAGGCUACACGCUGAGCACAAUGACAGAGUCUAAACAGAAUGUAACAAGCAUUUAUUGAGCACCUAGAGUAUCAGGCCUUUGACUCCCAGUUGGUUGAGAAAUAGCCACCCUCCAACCUGUCUGCCGGAGGACACUGGGCUUCCCUUGUCUAGAAGGGAGCAUUGCUCUCCUUCCCUUGGUUGACUGCUAGGUUCAAGGAUACUCAUGACCUUGCAAGUCCCCCACCCCCCGUGUCCCUGGGCUGGGGCUCCCUUGCCCACCCCUUACUUCCAGAGCUUCUCUCUGCCCUUGUAUCUCAGGUGUCCCUUGGCUGCUCAUAUGUUUGGGGCCUUGAGGUGCCCACCUGUAUUGGGGUGCUCCUCUUGGCCUGAGCAGUGUGUUUACCAGCAGGCCAGGGUGUUGCUGUCCCUUCAAAACCAAAUUGACUGUCAACUGGACAGUGGGUACCAUCUUCUUGGGAUGACUGCUUGCCUGCUCAGGUCUUGGUAACUUGCUCAUGUUUGUAUUAAAUUCUUAUUGGUUUUCACUGAA
This is an RNA transcript of Mus musculus (house mouse), 4076 nucleotides long. It is a transcript of the gene named collagen beta(1-O)galactosyltransferase 1, with no coding region annotated. The record is from RefSeq and is marked validated. The transcript has 11 exons. Lineage: Eukaryota; Metazoa; Chordata; Mammalia; Rodentia; Muridae.